Long non-coding RNA from Prinia subflava (tawny-flanked prinia), 299 nucleotides. RefSeq lists it as uncharacterized. The transcript has 3 exons. The record is from RefSeq and is a predicted model, not a curated record. NCBI's taxonomy places the organism in Eukaryota, Metazoa, Chordata, Aves, Passeriformes, Cisticolidae.
UUCACAUCUUACUGCGGUAAAAUCCACAUCCCUUCCCCGAAAAUCUGCUGCAUCGAAAGGAAUUACUGUACCUCAUAGAGGCUGCGGGAGGAACUGUACGGCCAGGGAAUGGCUCCGUACUCUGCAAGGUGUAAAGGGAACACAGGGCUAUGAGUUUCCUAAGACUAAAGCAGCCUGCGGUACGUGGCGAUCUCCAUCUCCAAGCGAGUCUUGACGUCCAGCAGGAUGCUGUACUCAUGGUUCUGAGCCUCCAUGUCAGCUCGGAGCUGCCUCAGCUGGGCCUCCACACUGGAAAUUGC